GCCACAUGAUGAGGGACUUUCCUCAAUAGUUCCUUGUAACACUCCCAUGACUCAUACAAUGACUCUCCGUCCUGCUGAAAGAAGGUGGUGAUAUCAUUCUUCAUUUU
This 107-nucleotide small nucleolar RNA is filed under the name Nelumbo nucifera (sacred lotus). Its description in RNAcentral is "Plant small nucleolar RNA R71". It matches the Rfam family "Plant small nucleolar RNA R71". Rfam says of the family: R71 is a member of the C/D box family of snoRNAs containing the C (UGAUGA) and D (CUGA) box motifs. Multiple nearly identical copies of this snoRNA have been identified in Arabidopsis, and it is thought to function as a 2'-O-ribose methylation guide for 18S ribosomal RNA. The record is from Rfam by way of RNAcentral. Lineage: Eukaryota; Viridiplantae; Streptophyta; Magnoliopsida; Proteales; Nelumbonaceae.